GUAGGUGAACCUGCGGAAGGAUCAUUACCGAAGGACCCGGACCCUCUUGUAGUUGAUCAUUGCCCACGAUCGACCCUCUACUGGAAUCUGAUGAAAUGGGGGUGGCGCCACUUGAUGCCCGUUGCCUGAAAUCGGCUCGUGAUGUUGUAAACGUCACCCACCAGUUGGUGGGCUCGUUUCGGGCUGCGUGUCCUUUCAAAGGUUGAAGUCAUCGCCUCGCUGGUCGGCGCCUCUUCUCUUGAUGCCCAUC
Molecule: unclassified non-coding RNA, 250 nt
Filed under: plant metagenome
Description: partial contains small subunit ribosomal RNA, internal transcribed spacer 1, and 5.8S ribosomal RNA
Source: RNAcentral